AUAGUCUGGUGACAUAUCCACUCGACCACAACACCUCUACAGAAAUGACAUUUUUAUUGUCAAUAGGGAAUUCUUAAUUUGGUAGGAUGAUUUGAAGGAAUAACAAAUGCAUUUUGAAACAUUUCUCUUUUGACUUCGCCUCAUAUUCAGUUGUGCUGCACAAUCUGGGAUUAAAUUAUCAUUACAAACGGGGCAUUAUUGUAAACUGGGCAUUAUUGUAAAGGGAAAUGAACAGGCUUUUCAAUGAUACCAACAUCAAGAUUCUCAAACUUGAAUAGUAGAACUUUUUCUGAGGGAUUUAGUUGAGUUCUGUCACAAUUCCUUUCAUAGUGAAUAUUAUGGCCUCAGACCUAUAGUAACAAUGUUUUCUUUAGCAGCAGUUUUUUUUGUUUGUGAUGGGUUUUAUUUGUUUAUGAUGGGUUUUAUGUGAUGGCUUUAUCAAAAUGUCUGUUGUAAGGAUAUGAUCAAGAUCCUUCAUUACAUACUUCCUGUUAUUCUUGGCUUACUUUCUCUUCUACCUUUUUUCCAUUGUUCUACUUCAACCCACCUCUCUGUUGGCAUCCUCGUCAUAUAAAACUGAUUUUGUGUAACCUUCCUACUUAAAGCUGUUAUCAACUCUAUUUUAUAAUAAUAAUAAUACACAACAUUUAUUACCAUAGGCGCUUAAUACUGUUGUUUCUAAGCGCACCAUUGUAUUUUGCAUUUGCAUUAUAACAGUCGACCAUUAUUGUAAUUGUACAUGAUUAUGAUUUUGUUCUGUUUGUGAAUCGGUCUAUAAACUUAUAUCAGUGAAAAACAAAUUUCUGAAUGGACAAUAAAUACUUCAUUUUAAAUCUAAAUUUCCUGCUUAUUCUAUACAUCAAAGAGGCAGCAUGAAGUAAAUUUGAUACGAUUUAGAUCAUAUUUUUAUUUGCCCUUCCUGCCCCUUUUCUUGAGCGUUUAUCCCCAAAUUUCUUUUAAUUGUACUCCUGGCUGUAAAAUGUAAUAAUGUGAAAAGUAUUCUCUACUAAUUUGAAAGUUUAAUAUUUUCUUGUAUUUGUAUGUACGGGUAUAUAAGAAUUUUUGGUUGGACCUUUACAAGUUGUUUAAAAAUAAUAUCAUUUUAUAUUUACACCAGCAGAAAAUGACAUUUGAAAUUGGCCAUUGAAAUUGACAGUUGGUUACUAUAAUGUUGUUAACGUAAUUUCUAAAGUAAUUUUAAUAGUCAUGUAGAAAUUAGUUAUGAGGUAACUUUGAUGUAAUGAAACAGUCCAUAUAAUUUGUUGAAAUGGUAGCUGAAAUGAAGAUUGCACAGGGUUUUUUUUUUAACCUGGAAUUGUUUUAAAUUUCCUAAGUCUUGAUAAACUCAUUACACAUGGAUCUGCUCUUAAAAUUGAUGUAGAGUUUUAUGUGAAAGAAUGCUAAACAUUCAACAAAUGAGAGGUAGAAAAUCAUUAGAUUUCAUCCUGGAGAGUAAUUUCUAACAAAGGCAGAUCCUGCACUACACAUGUAAAACCUAUUACAUUGUAGCACUGUGUAUACGCUACAGUCUACGCACACACUGACUCCGAGCUAAGCACCGAGAUUGAUAGGAUGGGAGCCAAUGGGUGGAACCUAGGAUCCUAGUGUGGAGUGUAAAGCUGUUAAAGCUAUUACAUUGCGUGUAGAUAUUUACACUACGAUUCACAGGAAAUCAUGGAUAGAAUACCAAACAUCUCGCACAUAUAAGUAUAUCUUUUGAUACAAAGAGAACAACAUGAGAGACUAUUUUUAACAUGUUUCUGUCCAAUUUCCUUUUUGCUUCCAAAACUGUAAGAGCUGGAAGGGAUCAUAGGGCAAUGCCAAAAUCUUGAAUAACAAAAAUCUGGAAUGACAAUACACUAUAGUCUGAUCAACUCACAUAAUUCUAUUUUUAUUUUGUCAAUUACACAGCCAGUGCACAUUUCCCAUUAGAUUUAUGUGAAAGUUUGUGUAACUGUUUACAUUCAAUAUGCUUGCAAUUUAAUAAAACCAUUCUUUCUUGACUCCGGCCCCCUCCCCCGCUAAACUUCUGUAUUUUCACCUUUUCAGAAUUAUUUUAAUAGAUGCUUUUAUUCAGGAAUGAAGAUGCCCCUCCUAAAUACAUUAAUUAUGGAGACGGUCAAGAGCUUGUACUGUAAAUAUGAUGCAUAUAUGUGAAUAUUAUGUAUAAAUAUAACGUAACAAUGUGUUUUUUAUAUAAAUAUUUAGGAAAUGCCAGUAUUUUCUUGCGAGUUAUUGGUAUUCAGGUAUUUCAUUUGUGAAGUACAUGUAAAUGCUUUCUUCAUCUCAGUGAAAUGUUCUUAUUAAAAACAGAUCAAGUAAACUAA
Long non-coding RNA from Strongylocentrotus purpuratus (purple sea urchin), 2327 nucleotides. RefSeq lists it as uncharacterized. The transcript has 2 exons. The record is from RefSeq and is a predicted model, not a curated record. NCBI's taxonomy places the organism in Eukaryota, Metazoa, Echinodermata, Echinoidea, Camarodonta, Strongylocentrotidae.